GCCAGCAGCCAUAUCACUCUGCAACUCCCAGCUGGCAGCCCCACUGAAGCUCAGCAGGUGUGAGCCUGGUCAGUACCUGGAUGGGAGACUCCUGGGAAAACUAAGGAAGCUGCUGGAA
RNAcentral lists this ribosomal RNA (118 nucleotides) under Lepisosteus oculatus (spotted gar). Lineage: Eukaryota; Metazoa; Chordata; Actinopteri; Semionotiformes; Lepisosteidae. The record is from RNAcentral.